This is a long non-coding RNA of Ictalurus punctatus (channel catfish), 1653 nucleotides long. RefSeq lists it as uncharacterized. NCBI's taxonomy places the organism in Eukaryota, Metazoa, Chordata, Actinopteri, Siluriformes, Ictaluridae. The transcript is spliced from 3 exons. The record is from RefSeq and is a predicted model, not a curated record.
UACUUUAUUUAUUUAAUGAGUGGCUAACUGUUCUUCUUUAUCUCCCUCUUAUUCUUGAUUUCUUUUAUUAAUUAUUUUGUAUUUUUCCCUCUUACUUCAGAUUUGGGAAUGUCCUGAUACGUAUUCGUCUAGUUUUUAAGAACUUGAUCAAAGUACCUAGUGAGGCGGAUGUUCUCAAUGCUGCUAAUGCUCUGCUGGACUCAAAGAUCAGAAGAGCACGAGGUCUCAUUUAUAAUUUAGAUAUAUUCUUUUGAGAAAUUGACAACUCCUACAUUAGAAGCUUUGCAUUUCAAAUCAGCAAUGUGACCAUCUUCAAGGACCUUCAGCUGAGGAACGGAACACAUGAUUUAAUACAAAACACCAUCAACAGCCUGUGGCUGCUGUGCUGGUUUAAGGAGACGCUACAACAGAAGACGGUCCUACAAUGUCCAAUACACAACACGAAAUGGACUCUUUUAAAAAACAGUUAGAGUGUAAAAUAAUUUCACAAAAAUAUUAUUUGCAACUCCAUUAGACUCUAUUAAAUAGUUUAUUUUUUUAAAUCUGUUUCAUUAUGUAGUUUAUUUUUUAUUUGUUUACCUAUUUAAUUAUUUCAUCCAUUCUAUUUUAUUUAAUCUUUGUACAUAAUUAAUUUUAUUUCAACUACAUACAUAAAAAUUAAGCUACAUAUGGUCUAUUAAAGUGACUUAUUAAACAGGAUAAUGUAUAUAUUCUGUCCAAAUUAAUGUUCAGUUAUGUUGUAAUUUAACUUAUUUAUUAAAGCUAUUUAUAAUAAAGUUUGUCAAAUAUUGCUUGUUCAAUUGAGAUUAAUCCACACAAUUAAAAUCUGUAUCCUGUUUAUAUGUUUCUGUAAAGCUGCUUUGAGACAAUGUCCGUUGUAAAUAUAGAAAAUAUCUAUGAAGUGUAAACAAUAUGUGUAACUAACAUUUGGAUAUGUUAACGAAGUGUAUCAGUAUGUAACCAACAUUUAGACUUAUUACUUGAGCAUAAUCGUAUAAUCAAUAUUGGUUAAAAAAACAAUUUAUAUGUAUAAUCAAGUUAGAAGCAUAAUCUAAAUCCAUAGAACUAUGUUUGAUCAAGUUAUAUUCUGAGUGGAUUUGAGUUAAAUGAACUCUGUGUUUUAGUGUACAAUAAUUGUUCUUCUGUAUUAGCUAGCACCUGUCUCCACAGCAAUAAAUUGGCAUUAGACAUUCGCUUUUGUGGGAGAAUAACUUUGAAGCCAGGUGCCAGUUAGGGAGUUGGAAGAGGGCCUCUGGAAAGGAGGUAGUUAUCAGCGGGGACAACCGAUAGAGACAGACAGAUGCUCAUUGAGGCCUAAGAAGGGAGUCAGGGUCAGGACACACAAACCUGUGUGAAACCUUUUUGUAAAAAAGAAACCUUGUCCUCAUAAAACCUUUUCAAGAAAAACAAUUAACUGCGCAUGCACCCCAAAUUUAAGAUAACACAUAGACAUGAAUGAUUAAUUAAGGCUAUACAGAUUGGUUUGUUCCUAGAAAGAAAAGGUGAAUGCCCCACUUAGGGAUAAUUUUACUGUUUCCAAAGAGUAUAUAAAGACGUUUGUGUAUGUAUAAUUCGGACUUUCUGCAGACUGUCACACUUUAUUGAUUUUCAAUAAAGUUUAUUUACUUUUUGACAUCUACUAAACUCUCUGUG